This 418-nucleotide ribosomal RNA is filed under the name uncultured delta proteobacterium. RNAcentral's name for it is "bacterial SSU rRNA". It matches the Rfam family "Bacterial small subunit ribosomal RNA", at positions 433 to 867 of the family's 1533-position model. The record is from RNAcentral. Lineage: Bacteria; Deltaproteobacteria.
CUUUUCUCAGGGAAGAAGAAUGACGGUACCCCCGGAAUAAGCCCCGGCUAACUACGUGCCAGCAGCCGCGGUAAUACGUAGGAGGCGAACGUUAUYCGGAUUUAUUGGGCGUAAAGAGAGCGUAGGCGGUUCUUUAAGWCAGAUGUGAAAUCUCCCGGCUCAACCAGGAGGGGCCAUUUGAUACUGUGGGRCUUGAGAGCAGCAGAGGGAAAUGGAAUUCCCGGUGUAGCGGUGAAAUGCGUAGAUAUAGGGGGGAACACCAGUGGCGAAGGCGGYUUUCUGGGYUGUUAAUGACGCUGAGGCGCGAAAGCGUGGGGUGYRAACAGGAUUAGAUACCCUGGUAGUCCACGCCCUAAACGAUGGACAYUAGAUGUGGGGGGUAUCGACCCUUUCUGUGCCGAAGUAACGCAUUAAGUGU